AACGAACGCUGGCGGCGUGGAUAAGACAUGCAAGUCGAACGGGAUCAUUGGAGUAGCAAUACAACAGUGGUCUAGCGGCGAACGGGUGCGUAACACGUGGAUACAUUCCGGGAAGCGGGGGAUAGCCCAGGGAAACUUGGAUUAAUACCGCAUGUGGUCGAAAGACUAAAGGCAGGGACCGCAAGGCCUGCCACUUCCCGAUUGGUCCGCGGCCUAUCAGCUAGUUGGCGGGGUAAAAGCCCACCAAGGCUACGACGGGUAGCUGGUCUUAGAGGACGACCAGCCACACUGGAACUGAGACACGGUCCAGACACCUACGGGUGGCAGCAGUCGAGAAUCUUUCACAAUGGGGGCAACCCUGAUGGAGCGACGCCGCGUGGAGGAUAAGGUCUUCGGAUUGUAAACUCCUGUCAUGUGUGAACAAGGCUGUCGUGUUAAUAGCAUGGCAGAUUGAUGGUAACACAAGAGGAAGAGACGGCUAACUCUGUGCCAGCAGCCGCGGUAA
Molecule: ribosomal RNA, 505 nt
Filed under: uncultured bacterium
Lineage: Bacteria
Description: bacterial SSU rRNA
Rfam family: Bacterial small subunit ribosomal RNA
Source: RNAcentral